This is a long non-coding RNA of Octopus sinensis (East Asian common octopus), 136 nucleotides long. RefSeq lists it as uncharacterized. The record is from RefSeq and is a predicted model, not a curated record. The transcript is spliced from 3 exons. NCBI's taxonomy places the organism in Eukaryota, Metazoa, Mollusca, Cephalopoda, Octopoda, Octopodidae.
GAUAUUCUAUUCAUGUCCGAAACUUCUUUAUUUAAAAUUUUUCUACAGCAUAUAUCUGAUCUACAUAUAUUUCGACUGCAGUGACUGCACAUUGCUUUGUAUGCAAAUUUGCAUUCUAGGGUGGAGAGCUGGCUUC